UCAAGCAUCCACCAUUGUGAGAUUGAUUCGUUAAUUAAUCCAAAAAGUGUCGUUCCCCCACUCGCUUUUAAAUUGUAUAUUUAUUUUUUAAAAUGCAUGGAUAUUAUUUUAAAAGGUGUGAACACUUUUUAAAUCACAUGCACUUAAAAAAAUGCUUGAAUACUUUCAAAAUCAUGAUUGAAUUCACUUCCUGGCAGGUUUGAUCCACAAAAUAUCCGAAUUCCACUUGUGAGUAAAUAAAAAAAGUUGUCCCUACCACAAGAAUAGGUCCAACAUCGAUGCACUUCUUUUUCACUUUCCUAAUAAAAAGCAACAAAUACUCGCUAUUUCAGUUUAACAAUAAUAGUAACCUAUGUCAAAUGCUCACAAUUUAGGAAAAAGUUUGCAUAUUUGUCUUAUUAGAAUAAAUGAACCUUCAAAAUUAAGUAGUGGCCUAAAAACUGAUAUAUGUUUUAUGCUUCUUGAGCUAGUGAGUUGUGAACUUUCAUCCAUUGUCUAAUUUCUGGGCACAUUACGGAGUGACUUUGCUUCAGUUAAAAGCAUGCGCUAGUUUGCUUGAUGGCCGUGCAUUCACGAGUUGGAGGAUUAGGUUGGUUGGCCAACAUUUGUGAAGAAAUAAAACGACCCACUUUAGUGAGGAAAAUCAGACACAAAAGGCAACCAAGGAAAAUAAAACAAACUCAUGUUGUGCACAUGGAUUAAGAGUCAUAAAUUCGAGUAGAUCAUCAGGAUACCAAAGUCGAAGGCAGUAAGUACGCAGAGAGUAACUUGCGGCUGUAGUUGACCAUUUGCCUCUUGCAGCAGGUGGCCUCGGCCUCUCCAACUCCAAAUGCAGCAUUGGCACCAAUACACUGAAAGAUAAGAGGGACAAAUGCAGAUAUGCAUGCAUUAUGUGAUUCUAAAUUAAGGGCAACCUGGUGCAUGUAGCUCCCGCUUGCGCAGGGUCCAGGGAAGGGUCCGACCACUUUGAGUCUAUAGUAAUUGAUGAGGAAAAAUAUAAGUGCCCUUGCAAUUUCGGUUGGAGGCAUUGUGUUCAAAGUACAGAGCAAAGGAACAUUAUACAGUGUACAAAUGUUGAUACCUCUGAGUGAUCAACAACUGCAGCCUGCAGGCAUUAACAUCAGAUUCCAUUGAAUCUUCAGAGGAUUGGCCACAUUUGGAGCUCAUCUGCAAGGCCAACAUGGCCGCGUCGGAGCUCCGUCCAAGCUUAUGGGGCGCAGACACGGGGCGCCAACCCUGCCGCACACAACCAGACUCUUCACAUGUGCUCUAGAUUGGAAGGAUGGAUAGGGGAGAGGCGGCCCUCAGGCACGGCCGGACACUUGAAGUGGAGGAGGAGGAUCACAGGAUGAUAAGGGAGAAGCAGCCCGUAGCCAUGGUUGGGAACCUGUCACAACCUAGGGAUCGAACGGGUUCGUCGCCGGCAAGUGGAAGAGGGGCUCAGGUAAGGGAGAAUUUGAAUUCGCCGGAGAGGAGGAAGAGACAGCGAGGAAGGGAAGAGAAGAGCCAGUGGCUCGGAUAAUGAUCUAUUUCAUUUUCGAUGCCUUUCCAACACGCUACCUGGCUGGUUUAUAUCCACCAGUCCAGCUCUCUCAUUACAAGGCCCAUGGCCCAAACUAUUACAAGGCCUAAAGCCCAAAUUCCUCUCCACUCAUUUAAACUCUCCCGCGCCUUGGUUACGCCUUCUUCAUCACCUGUUUGCGCCUUCUCCCUUGGUUGACGUCCAUCGUAAGCACUGCAGUACUUACAGUACCCGCCCCUGAAGAACCAGCUUGUCCCCAAGCUGGUGCCGCUGGAUAACGCGCCUUGAGCACGUCAUAAUCUUCCCAGGUGGCUGACGACGGUGGUAUUGUAGCCCAUUUUAUCAACACUUGCAAGUGAGAGUUGUUCCCUUUUUUCACCAGUCGCCGAUCGAGCACUGCUUCUGGAAUUAUACCCGGUAGAGACAGAUCCAACGGCUUGGGCAAAUUGACGAAGAUGGGGGUACGAUCAGGAACAUGCCCUUUGAGAUGGGAUACAUGAAAAACUGGGUGUACCUGACAGCCUCUGGGUAACUCAAGUCGAUAAGCUGCUUCUCCAAUUUUGUCCAGCACUUUGUAUGGCCCAAAAUACUUGAGUGCAAGUUUGGGACACGGCUUGUUGACCACUGUAGACUGCGUAUAUGGCUGGAGACGCAAAUAAACCAUCUCCCCAACAGCAAACACACGCUCUGAUCUUUUCCUAUCAGCGAACUGUUUGUACUUGCACUGAGCGCGAGCCAAAUGGUCUCUCAAUGCUGCAGUAUGAUGCUGAUGUUCAGUCAACCAGGUUUGCACAUCUUUAUUGAGCGACGAGCUGUGUCCCAACAACUGUCCAAUGUUCUGAUCAUGGCCAUAUAGAGCUUUGUAAGGAGUACAGCCCAGGGAAGAAUGGUACGUUGUGUUGUACCAAAACUCAGCUUGAGAUAACCAAGUGGACCACUUAGCAGGAAACUCAUUCACAGCACAGCGUAAAUACAUUUCCAGGCACUGAUUAACACGCUCUGUCUGCCCAUCCGUUUGGGGAUGAUAAGUUGUGCUCAUGUGCAAUUCUGUACCCCAUACUCUGAACAGCUCUUUCCAAAAGGCACUCAUGAAUAUCUUAUCUCUGUCUGAUAUAAUAACCAGUGGUAACCCAUGCAGCUUGACAAUGGUAUUGAGAAAGACUCUGGCAACAGAAGUAGCAGUGAAUGGAUGUUUCAAGGGAAGAAAAUGACUCACUUUGGUCAGUCGAUCCACCACAACCAAAAUUGCAUUAUAUCCAUCAGAUUUGGGUAAUCCUUCAAUAAAGUCCAUACUAAUUGAUUGCCAAGGACUGUCAGGUAUAGGAAGUGGUUGCAACAUACCAGGGCUUUUACACAGUUCAUGCUUAGCUUGCUGACACACACUGCAUUGCUUGACAAAACUUUCCACAUCUGCUUUCAUACCUUGCCAGCUAAACAACUGUUUUACUUUGUGAUAAGUUGGUAAGAUACCAGAGUGACCACCUUUGGGACUAGAGUGGAAGGCCUGUAUUAACUUGGUCUGCAAGCCUGUAUUUGCUCCCACCCAGAUUUUCCCUUCUUGCUUGAUGAGGCCUUCCUGUAACUGAAAACCAGGACAAGCCUUGUUGUCCACUGCUAACUUUUGUAGCAUAAGUUGAGCAUUAGGGUCUACAGUAUAUGAAUUGAGGAUUUCCUGAAUCCACACAGGUUUGCUGGUGGAUACUGCCUAUGCAACAAAAAGAUGAGCCACCCUCGACAAAGCAUCUGCUACAGUAUUUUCCGCCCCUUUUUUGUAUUAUAUGCUGAACUGAAGCCCCACCAACUUUGUCAUUGCUUUUCUCUGAAGAUAUGAGGUCAUAUUUUGGUCCCCCAAAUGACAUAAGCUCUGAUGAUCCGUUUUGAUAACAAACGGUGCUCUAGACAGAUAUGAUCUCCACCUAUCCACUGCCAUCAUAAUAGCUAGGAACUCUUUUUCAUAGAUUGAAGAUUUUUGACUGGCCACUCCCAAUGCUUUACUGUAAUAAGCCACAGGGUGACCCUCCUGAGUAAGUACAGCUCCCACUCCAGUGUUGCAAGCAUCUGUCUCUAAUGUAAAUGUCUUGUUGAAAUCAGGAAGGGUAAGUACUGGAGUAGUUGCCAUAGCUCUCUUCAACAUUUGGAAAGCCUGCUGAGCAGAUUCAGACCACACAAAAGCUUGUUUCUUCAGCAAAGCAGUCAGGGGUUUGGCAAGCAGACCAUAGUGCUGAACAAAUUUUCUGUAAUAACCUGUUAAUCCCAAAAAUCCCCUCAAUUCAGUGACUGAUAUGGGAACAAGCCAAUUCACCAUAGCUUCUGUUUUAGCUGGGUCAGUGGCCACUCCUUGAUCAGAAAUAAUGUGACCCAGAUAUUCCAUAGAUUGUUGUGCAAAAGCACACUUACUUUCCUUCACGUAGAACUGGUGCUCUUUCAGAAGAUCAAACACAGUUUGUAACUGCUCUAAAUGUUCCUGAAAAGUCUGACUGAACGCCAGAAUAUCAUCCAUAAACACCAAGACAAACUUCCCGUUUGGUCCUGCAAACACAAAGUUCAUUACACAUUGAAAUGUGCCAGGAGCAGUGGCCAAUCCAAAUGGAACAACUUUGAACUGAAACUGGCCAUGGUGAGUUUUAAAUGCAGCUUUGUGCUCAUCUUCCUCUUUCAUCCUGAUCUGGUGAUACCCAGCUCUAAGGUCUAACUUGGAAAACCACUUGGAGCCUCCUAAUUCAUCCAAUAACUCAUCAAUCACAGGCAAUGGAAAUUUACUUUUGAUUGUCAGGUCAUUCAACCUUCUAUAAUCCACACAGAAUCUCCAAGUUCCAUCUUUCUUAUUCACCAGCAAAACAGGAGAAGCAAAAGGACUUAUACUGGGAGUCUCUCCCCUGCUUGUAACAUUUCAGAGACCUACCUCUCUAUUUCAUCUUUUUGCAGAGGAGAGUACCUGUAUGGUCUACAGUUUACUAGUACAGCAUCAGGUUUCAAAUGGAUUGCAUGGUCCAGGGCUCUGUGAGGAGGAAGUGUCUUUGGUUCUUGAAAUACUUCUUUGUUUCUAUCCAAGAUCUGUUGCACUGCAGGAGGAAUUUCUACAGCAGGUUCCAUAACAAUGCGGUUCAGAAGUGUUGUUGCCCACACAUCAUUCCCCUUUUCCCAUUUCAUUAAUUGCUCAACUGAUAUUUCCUCAAUAUGGUCUUGCUAUCCUGGCAACACUCCUUGUAGCCUGACCUCUUGUCCUUCAUAUUGGAAUUGUAUCCACUUCGCUGCCUAGUGACACUGCAUAACACCCCAUUGCUCAAGCCAAUCUAUACCCAGAAUAAUGUCAUGACCACCCAGGGGAAAAACAUGCAUAGGACUGGUGAAACUAUGCCCUUGCAACCACCAGGUUAAUUGAGGGACACAUUCAGUGCACCUAACCAGAUUUCCAUUAGCCACUCUGACUUGCAUUGGCACAGGUAACUUUGCUGUAGUCACAGAAAUUCUGCUCAACAGAGCCUGAUCCACAAAUGAGUGAGUAUUGCCUGAAUCUACUAGAAUGAGAAUAGCCUAAUUUCCAACCAAUGCCCUCAACUGAAUUGUUCCGGGGUGAGGUGCUCCUGACAAUGCUGUUGCUGAUAAAGCUGCACAUUCCUCAUGACCAUUUGUCACAAGAGCAUCAAACACUGCAUCAGAGAUAAUCUCAUGAGGAUCCACCAUUUCUGCAGCCUUGAGUUGACCUGCUGGAACAGUGGGUUGGUUACACGUGUGACCUGGCAUGAAUUUCUCUCCACACUUAUAACAUAACCCAUUAGCACGUCUGUACUCCUUGAGCUAUUUUGCUUUCCACAAGUCACCUGUGGCCAGCUAAGGUUUACUGUCAGUCUUUGUGUAUGAACUCUUGGAGAAAGGUGGCUUAGGAGUUUUUUGUUGCAGCAAUAAUCCUUCCUGAACUGAGGCAUACAGGGCAGCCAUUUGUACUGUAGAAGGUAUCUGAACUUCUACCCCAGCUCGAAGUUCGUCCUUCAGUCCCAUCACAAAUCGAGUGAUCAGAAAUGUGUCGCUGAUUGUCGGCUCAUACAACCUGACCGUAUACACCAAGUGCAUGAACUGGUGCUUAUAUUCUUCGACAGUACCAGUCUGCUUGAGUAGCAUCAGCUCCUUCAUCUUCUGACGGUAAACGUCCACAUCAAAUUCCUUCAUAAUGGCCUCACAAAAUUGUUCCCAAGUAUGGAAUGCCGCAGUCUGCUUGAACGCUUGGUACCAAUGUGCAGCAUUAUCCGUCAGGUACAGAGAAGCAGAAGUAACCUUGAAAUUUUCAGGUAUGUGAUAUAACUGGAAGAAAGCCUCGCAUCUAUCCAACCAAAUCCGCACAUCAGAACCAUCGAACCUCGAAAAAUCCAUCUUAGGCAUCCACUGGCGUUUGUUACCACUCUCCUCGACCGCGAACGACAUCGGCAACUGAACAACAGGCAAUGUAACCGGUACCUGAAGUGGUGGUGGAGGUGGUGGUGGUGGCUGCCUAUACCGCGGUCCUGUGCCCAGAAUCCCAUCCGAGACCUCCAAUGCUGUGGGUGAAGAGCUCUCGCCUUGCCCUGUGGUCUUGUCUCCUCUCGCCGCAUGAAGCUGUCCCUGCUGCACUUGCCCCAACGUGUCGCAGGACAGAUCCACCUUGACAUGCACUUGAUCCAGGCGCGCCGCUUGCUCCGUGAGCUUCACAUCCAGCGAUGCCAGCUUCGCGCAAAUGUCAUCCACAACCGCCAACUUGCUCUGGUUUUAGCGAAGCACGGCGAAUUCCUUGAGCAUCCGCUCCUAGAGCGCCUCCAUCUCGUCCGUCAGGAACCUAGUCUACGGAUUAGGCUUGAAUGUCGUCGUGGCUGCAAUUUCCCCCAAAUCAGCCCACCUCAGGUCCGGAAUUACUCAGAUCAAGCCCGAGAGCGAUAUGAAACCUUCGCGUCGGAUUUGCUGGGUACGAAGUGGGGAAAUUUUUUUGGGCGCGUGGACGGAAGCGGUGGCUCUGAUACCAUACUGUCACGACCUAGGGAUCGGACGGGUUCGUCGCCAGCGAGUGGAAGAGGGGCUCAGGUAAGGGAGAAUUUGAAUUCGCCGGAGAGGAGGAAGAGACAGCGAGGAAGGGAAGAGAAGAGCCAGUGGCUCG
RNAcentral lists this long non-coding RNA (6644 nucleotides) under Triticum aestivum (bread wheat). RNAcentral's name for it is "long non-coding RNA (TAES_LNC003148)". Lineage: Eukaryota; Viridiplantae; Streptophyta; Magnoliopsida; Poales; Poaceae. The record is from RNAcentral.